AUGGAGACGGGAAGCAGCGGCGGCCGGAGGCUGCCGAAGACGGAGUCGGCGGAGAUGCGGUGGGUGGUCCCCGGCGGCGCUUAUGAAGAGGAUGAGAUCGAUAGCUCGGACGACGGCGACGGCGGCACAGACACUCCCACGGCCGCCCUGGGCUCCCGUGGCGGUGGAGGCGGCUACUCGGACGCUGAAGAGGAUGAGGAGGACGCGCUGCUGCGCCAGCGCCUGGUGCGCACCGGCCCGCGCGCCGACUCCUUCGACGUCGAAGCUCUCGAUGUCCCCGGUCUGUACCGCCACCAGGAAUUUACCAUGGGAAGGAGUAUUGUUUUGGCCCUUCAGACGUUAGGCGUUGUCUUUGGGGAUGUUGGCACCAGCCCACUAUACACUUUCGAUAUAAUGUUCAACAAAUACCCCAAUACUUCGAAGGAGGAUGUGCUUGGAGCACUCUCACUUGUAAUAUACACUCUGAUUCUAAUUCCAUUGCUGAAGUAUACUCUGAUUGUUUUAUGGGGAAAUGAUGAUGGAGAAGGAGGGAUAUUUGCUUUAUACUCUCUAAUAUGCAGGAAUGCAAAGGCUAGUCUGCUCCCUAACCAACUGCCCUCUGACACCCGCAUAUCAAGUUUCCAACUCAAGGUACCAUCGGUCGAACUCGAGAGGUCUCUGAGGAUCAAGGAGCGCCUCGAGACUUCAUCUAUGCUAAAGAAGCUACUUUUGAUGCUUGUUCUUUUUGGUACUUCUAUGGUGAUAGCGGAUGGUGUUGUUACACCAGCGAUGUCAGUGAUGUCUGCUGUUAAUGGCUUGAAGGUUGGAAUAUCUAGUGUUAACGAAGGUGAAGUGGUCAUGAUAAGUGUUGCAUUUCUCAUUGUUCUAUUCAGUCUGCAAAGGUUUGGAACAAGUAAAGUUGGGCUUGCUGUUGGACCUGCCUUGUUCAUAUGGUUUUGCUGCCUUUCUGGGAUAGGAAUAUAUAACAUUAUGCAAUAUGGUACAGAAGUAUUACGUGCAUUCAAUCCUAUAUACAUCUACUACUAUUUUGAAAGAAACCCAACUCAAGCUUGGAUGUCUCUUGGGGGCUGCCUUUUAUGUGCAACAGGAUCCGAGGCAAUGUUUGCUGAUCUAUGCUACUUCUCUGUUAGAUCUGUCCAGCUUACCUUUGUGUGUCUUGUUCUUCCAUGCCUUCUACUGGGUUACCUAGGGCAAGCUGCAUUUCUUAUGGAAAACUUGACUCAAAAUGAGCAGGUCUUCUUUUUAUCUAUCCCGAGUCAGGUGUUUUGGCCAGUGGUGUUCAUAGCUACUCUGGCAGCACUAAUUGCUAGUCGUACAAUGACAACUGCUAUUUUCUCAAUCAUUAAGCAGGCCACAGCUCUUGGCUGUUUUCCCCGCCUCAAGAUUAUUCACACUUCAAGAAAGUUCAUGGGUCAAAUAUACAUCCCAGUGAUGAACUGGUUUUUGCUAGUUUCCUGUCUCGCGUUUGUUACGACAUUUGGGAGCAUUAAUGAGAUUGGCAAUGCAUAUGGUAUAGCUGAACUUGGGGUCAUGAUGAUGACUACUAUAUUGGUGACCAUCAUAAUGCUUCUGAUUUGGCAGGUCAACAUCAUUGUCGUUCUAUGCUUUCUCACCCUCUUCCUGGGCCUGGAGCUAUUUUUCUUUUCUUCUGUAUUGGGCAGUGUAGCAGAUGGCAGUUGGGUUCUUUUGGUAUUUGCGGCUGUACUGUAUCUGGUAAUGUACAUAUGGAACUAUGGGACCAAGUUGAAGUACGAAACUGAGGUUAAGCAAAAACUUUCGAUGGAUCUAAUGAUGGAUCUAGGCUGCAAUCUCGGUACAGUCAGAGCGCCUGGAAUUGGAUUGCUUUAUAAUGAACUGGUGAGGGGGGUUCCUGCAAUCUUUGGUCACUUCCUGACCACAAUGCCAGCCAUUCAUUCGAUGAUCAUUUUUGUCUGCAUCAAGUGGGUUCCUGUUCCUGUCGUUCCUCAGAAUGAAAGGUUUCUCUUUCGCCGGGUCUGCCCAAAGAACUACCAUAUGUUUCGCUGCAUUGCUAGGUAUGGGUACAAAGAUGUACGCAAGGAGAACCCCCAAACAUUUGAACAGCUUCUGAUAGAAAGUCUAGAGAAAUUUAUACGGCGAGAAGCUCAAGAGCGCUCCCUGGAGAGUGACGAGAAUGGUAACACGGACUCUGAAGAGGAGGUUGCGUCAAGCUCAUCAAGAGUUCUUGUUGGUCCAAAUGGUAGCAUCUACUCUCUUGGUGUUCCACUCCUUGCGGAGUGUGGUGGUGUUUCAAAUCCAAACUUUGGAUCAAGCACAUCAUUUGAUGGAUCUCUGGACGGGACAAUGGAUGGAAGGCGAAGCCUGGACAAUGAGCUGUCUUUCAUUCACAUGGCCAAGGAGUGUGGCGUGGUUUACCUUCUUGGACAUGGCGACAUCCGAGCUCGGAAGGAGUCAUUCUUUGUCAAGAAGCUAGUGAUCAACUAUUUCUACGCGUUCCUGAGGAAGAACUGCCGGAGAGGCAUAGCAACGUUGAGCAUACCGCACACAAGGCUGAUGCAGGUCGCAAUGCAAUACAUGGUGUAG
This 2562-nucleotide ribosomal RNA is filed under the name Triticum aestivum (bread wheat). RNAcentral describes it as "partial small subunit ribosomal RNA". The record is from RNAcentral. Lineage: Eukaryota; Viridiplantae; Streptophyta; Magnoliopsida; Poales; Poaceae.